RNAcentral lists this transfer RNA (78 nucleotides) under Thermococcus barophilus MP. RNAcentral's name for it is "tRNA-Met". It matches the Rfam family "tRNA". From Rfam's summary of the family: Transfer RNA (tRNA) molecules are approximately 80 nucleotides in length. Their secondary structure includes four short double-helical elements and three loops (D, anti-codon, and T loops). The record is from RNAcentral. Lineage: Archaea; Methanobacteriati; Methanobacteriota; Thermococci; Thermococcales; Thermococcaceae.
AUGGGCCCGUAGCUCAGCCUGGUCAGAGCGCGCGGCUCAUAACCGCGUGGUCCGGGGUUCGAAGCCCCGCGGGCCCAC